RNAcentral lists this ribosomal RNA (511 nucleotides) under Eimeria sp. 4_5. Its description in RNAcentral is "SSU rRNA". It matches the Rfam family "Eukaryotic small subunit ribosomal RNA", at positions 636 to 1149 of the family's 1831-position model. The record is from RNAcentral. Lineage: Eukaryota; Apicomplexa; Conoidasida; Eucoccidiorida; Eimeriidae.
GGAUUUCUGUCGUGGUCAUCCGGCUCCGCCUGUAUAGGUGUGCGCCUGGUUUGCCCUCGGCUUUCUUCCGGUAGCCUACCGCGCUUCACUGCGUGCGUGGGUGUUUUCCGGAACUUUUACUUUGAGAAAAAUAGAGUGUUUCAAGCAGGCUUGUCGCCCUGAAUACUUCAGCAUGGAAUAAUAAGAUAGGACCUUGGUUCUAUUUUGUUGGUUUCUAGGACCAAGGUAAUGGUUAAUAGGGACAGUUGGGGGCAUUCGUAUUUAACUGUCAGAGGUGAAAUUCUUAGAUUUGUUAAAGACGAACUACUGCGAAAGCAUUUGCCAAGGAUGUUUUCAUUAAUCAAGAACGACAGUAGGGGGUUUGAAGACGAUUAGAUACCGUCGUAAUCUCUACCAUAAACUAUGCCGACUAGAGAUAGGGAAUGCAUUAUCCCAAUCUUCCCUGCACCUCAUGAGAAACCAAAGUCUCUGGGUUCUGGGGGGAGUAUGGUCGCAAGACUGAAACUUAAAG